UACGUAGGUGGCAAGCGUUGUCCGGAUUUACUGGGCGUAAAGAGCGCGCAGGCGGUCGUUCAAGUCGCGUGUGAAAGCCCCCGGCUCAACUGGGGAGGGUCACGCGAUACUGAUCGACUCGAAGGCAGGAGAGGGUAGUGGAAUUCCCGGUGUAGUGGUAAAAUGCGUAGAUAUCGGGAGGAAUACCAGUGGCGAAGGCGGCCGGCUGGGCCACGACCGACACUGAGGUGCGAAAGCGUGGGGAGCGAACCGG
Molecule: ribosomal RNA, 253 nt
Filed under: uncultured bacterium
Lineage: Bacteria
Description: partial 16S ribosomal RNA
Rfam family: Bacterial small subunit ribosomal RNA
Source: RNAcentral